CCAAUAGUGCUAGGCACCUCGUGGCUUUCUACGCGCUUUAUCCGGCGGCGCAUCCUACAGGUGCCCAAAGGUAUUUCGUCCGCCCACUAGCGCGAAUCGCGUAUUUUCGGCGCUCUUGGAGCGCUCCCAGAUGCGGAGGAGGAGGAAAUACGCGACGUCGACGAAAACGAUAUGCGAGGAAGGAGAUCUUGACGGAUAAAUCGCGACCGCGGUCACGUGCGGUUCUACUGAAAGAAUACUCGGUGAUGCGAAGAAACGAAAUUUAUUGGAAAGGCUCGAUUGUACCAAGGAAUGUCGACGAGUUUCGCUGACGGUCUUCGGAAUAACUGCAUGGUAAUUUCUCGCCUGAGAAAGAUGGAUAAGUACGGGGGCGGAUAUAGUUUUUGCGUCGAGGAUACCGAGUCAUUAGGAGUGAUCCACGGGGGCGGCGAGAUCAUUUAGGACGAGAAAGCGUGACUGUAUCGCGUGUCGUCCCGUAAAGUAUCCGGAUACGCACGGUUCCUCCUAUAAAUCAGCGACCUUCUGCACGCCACCCUCUUUUCCUCGUACCGGCGGGCAGCAAGUACUUUCCGCGUGCCGGAAAAAAGGGAAAAGCACGCGAACGCUAUUUAAAAGGCUCGUAGACCGGCGGCUUUCCUAGCGGCCGCCGGAGUAUGGCACGAAGGCGAGCGCGAGAAGAGAGAAGGAGAGAGGACUUCGACUUCGCCGCUCCUCUCUGGCGGCCUCGGCAUGGGGUUGUCGUGCUAUUUUCAGGCCCCGCUGGCUCGAUGCAGCUGUCGUGGUCUUCGGGUAAACCACCUCUCUUCUAUUCCACGGCCAUCCUCGAGGCGCGACAAGAGCUAAACACACUCGUGCGCCUAGAAAUUCGCCAAUCGGAUGAACCUAUUAAACUGUCCGGAUUCCGAGAAUAGCAAUACGAUGA
Molecule: long non-coding RNA, 922 nt
Organism: Temnothorax curvispinosus
Lineage: Eukaryota; Metazoa; Arthropoda; Insecta; Hymenoptera; Formicidae
Exons: 3
Source: RefSeq, a predicted model, not a curated record